This is a long non-coding RNA of Etheostoma spectabile (orangethroat darter), 81 nucleotides long. RefSeq lists it as uncharacterized. NCBI's taxonomy places the organism in Eukaryota, Metazoa, Chordata, Actinopteri, Perciformes, Percidae. The transcript is spliced from 3 exons. The record is from RefSeq and is a predicted model, not a curated record.
UCUAUAGGAGUGGCACAUGCGCAGUACCCAGGUAAGGACUACUAGCCAGUCAGAAGCAGAGUAUGAGGGCAGCUAGGCGAG